RNAcentral lists this transfer RNA (75 nucleotides) under uncultured marine thaumarchaeote KM3_95_D02. RNAcentral describes it as "tRNA-Arg". It matches the Rfam family "tRNA". Rfam says of the family: Transfer RNA (tRNA) molecules are approximately 80 nucleotides in length. Their secondary structure includes four short double-helical elements and three loops (D, anti-codon, and T loops). The record is from RNAcentral. Lineage: Archaea; Thermoproteati; Nitrososphaerota.
GGGCUCGUAGCUCAGCUUGGAUAGAGCAGGUGGCUUCGGACCAUCAGGUCGUGGGUUCGAAUCCUUCCGGGCCCG